CCCCUCUCAGGAUCGCACCUGGAGAGUUUCCAGUACUCUACCAGUCUUGCCUUUGGGAGGGAGAGUCAAGCUGAGACAUACUCAUUCCAUUCUUAGCUUGGGCAGUGGCUAGCAAGUGGAAGGCAAUCUGCUACAAGC
Molecule: small nucleolar RNA, 138 nt
Filed under: Ornithorhynchus anatinus (platypus)
Lineage: Eukaryota; Metazoa; Chordata; Mammalia; Monotremata; Ornithorhynchidae
Source: RNAcentral